Molecule: transfer RNA, 71 nt
Filed under: Loxodonta africana (African savanna elephant)
Lineage: Eukaryota; Metazoa; Chordata; Mammalia; Proboscidea; Elephantidae
Rfam family: tRNA
About the family: Transfer RNA (tRNA) molecules are approximately 80 nucleotides in length. Their secondary structure includes four short double-helical elements and three loops (D, anti-codon, and T loops).
Source: Rfam by way of RNAcentral
GCAUUGGUGGUUCAGUAGUAGAAUUCUCGCCUUCCACGUGGGAGACCCAGGCUUAAUUCCUGGUCAGUGCA